CUGUACCUGGUUGAGUUUGUAGACGUAGACUUGUCCCUGCUCGUCUCUUUCUGUGCCCAUGUACAUCGGAGCUCCGACCAAGAGGACGUCCGUGUAGGAAUCUCCAUCCACGUCGACAGUCUGCAGGACGCUGCCGAAGAACGCAUGGGCGGAAGAAACACUAAAGCACAUGUGCAGUGGGCCGCACGACGCAGAAGCUCUGGAAGCUACAACGCUUUUUUGGCUUAUGCACCCGACGAGCAAUUUUCAUUCAUGUGACUUGGCACCAUCUUUGAGUCCUGUAUCCAGUUCCUAUUAUACAUCCGUGGAUCUCCACUCACAGGCCAAUAUUUACCUUCCAAAGCAAAAAUCUUCCUUCCCAAAGCAUCCACAAUGGUCAACAACGCCACCUCAUCAGACACGUUGAAGAAGUGGUCGUGUAACGGCUCACUGGAGAUGGACGCAAUCUCC
Molecule: long non-coding RNA, 450 nt
Organism: Sebastes umbrosus (honeycomb rockfish)
Lineage: Eukaryota; Metazoa; Chordata; Actinopteri; Perciformes; Sebastidae
Exons: 3
Source: RefSeq, a predicted model, not a curated record